GCCAGUGUGGCGUAGUGGUUUGACCAUUAGACUAUGACUCUGAAGACCAGGGUUUGAAUCCCCACUCAGCCA
Molecule: transfer RNA, 72 nt
Filed under: Phrynosoma platyrhinos (Desert horned lizard)
Lineage: Eukaryota; Metazoa; Chordata; Lepidosauria; Squamata; Phrynosomatidae
Description: tRNA-OTHER
Source: RNAcentral